UACGGAGGAUGCAAGCGUUAUCCGGAUUUAUUGGGUUUAAAGGGUGCGCAGGUUGUUUGAUAAGUCAGUGGUGAAAGUCUGUCGCUUAACGGUAGGAUUGCCAUUGAUACUGUUGGACUUGAAUAUGGAUGAGGUAGGCGGAAUGUGUAGUGUAGCGGUGAAAUGCAUAGAUAUUACAAGGAACUCCGAUUGCGAAGGCAGCUUACUAAAUUACAACUGACGCUUAGGCACGAAGGCGUGGGUAUCAAACAGGAUUAGAUACCCCCGUA
Molecule: ribosomal RNA, 269 nt
Filed under: uncultured prokaryote
Description: partial 16S ribosomal RNA
Rfam family: Bacterial small subunit ribosomal RNA
Source: RNAcentral